Calypte anna (Anna's hummingbird) is the source of this 95-nucleotide long non-coding RNA. RefSeq lists it as uncharacterized. The transcript is spliced from 3 exons. The record is from RefSeq and is a predicted model, not a curated record. Lineage: Eukaryota; Metazoa; Chordata; Aves; Apodiformes; Trochilidae.
ACUUUUACCUUGUGCAACCCCUUGUAGCUACUUCUGGGUGCUCACACCCUGCAGGAGAUGUCUCAGAGGGGCUGCCUGCCCCCGACACCACCACC